Molecule: ribosomal RNA, 500 nt
Filed under: uncultured Glomeromycotina
Lineage: Eukaryota; Fungi; Glomeromycota
Description: partial small subunit ribosomal RNA
Rfam family: Eukaryotic small subunit ribosomal RNA
Source: RNAcentral
CCAAUAGCGUAUAUUAAAGUUGUUGCAGUUAAAAAGCUCGUAGUUGAAUUUCGGGAUCGACGGGUCGGUCGCGCCUCUGGUGUGUACUGGCCCUGUCGGUUUCUCCCUUCUGACGAACCACGAUGUCAUUAAUUUGAUGUCGUGGGGAAUCAGGACUGUUACUUUGAAAAAAUUAGAGUGUUUAAAGCAGGCAUUCGCUUGAAUACAUUAGCAUGGAAUAAUGAAAUAGGACGUUUGAUCUUAUUUUGUUGGUUUCUAAGAUCGACGUAAUGAUUAAUAGGGAUAGUUGGGGGCAUUAGUAUUCAAUUGUCAGAGGUGAAAUUCUUGGAUUUAUUGAAGACUAACUACUGCGAAAGCAUUUGCCAAGGAUGUUCUCAUUAAUCAAGAACGAAAGUUAGGGGAUCGAAGACGAUCAGAUACCGUCGUAGUCUUAACCAUAAACUAUGCCGACUAGGGAUCGGAUGAUGUUAAUUUUUUAAUGACUCAUUCGGCGCCUUACG